RNAcentral lists this long non-coding RNA (1644 nucleotides) under Sus scrofa (pig). RNAcentral describes it as "lncRNA (ENSSSCG00000057394.1)". The stretch from base 968 to 1171 matches the Rfam family "Small nucleolar RNA SNORA73 family". The record is from RNAcentral. Lineage: Eukaryota; Metazoa; Chordata; Mammalia; Artiodactyla; Suidae.
CUUCCUCGGCCUUUUCGGGGAAGACUGUUGAACGUCGUGUUAAGUUCUCGCAUUCGCUUGGGAUUCCUAAUGCCUUGAUUUGAGGUAAGUAAAUGUGAAUUGCUUUUGGCUUCUCAGCGUUUGCCUGUCAGUAUUGAUCCUUCUGAGCCCAGCUGCCUUUCAUGGGACUGCUGCUGCUCUUUGAUGCAUCUAGAUAAUUUUCUAGAUGUAUGAUCAUUUUCUGGGAAGAUGGCUUUUAGUUUGGUUACGUAAAACUGAUUUUCACAUCUUUAUAAUGGUAGGAUAGAAGUUUAUAUUUUGCAAAUGUAGCAGUUUUGAAAAUUUGGAUGACUUAGCUAAAGUCAGUUUUCACUUGAGCCAUGUAAUAAGCUUUUGGUUUUUGUGUAAUCAGUUUACUCUGAUAACUUGGGCAUAUGCUCCAACGUACCUCUACAGUCAACAGCUAUAAUUGUAAUAGACAAGGUAAAAAGUCAAUAGCAAUGACUUGAGUUCUUUAGCAGUGUGUGUUGAUGUUUAUUUCAGGUAGUCAGAUGUUUUUAGAAGAUUGUAUGUGCCCAAUUUUUGCAUGUCAUCUAAACACUAAAAAUCCUUCAUGGUGAUAUCUGUUCCUUGUGACUAGUAGAAACCUCGGGACCAGCGACAAACUUGUCAAACGUGCAUGUUUGCAUGCAUCUCUCCCUCACCUUUAGUCAUAUACAUUGAUAUUGCUUUCCCCUGCCUCUUUGAGGCAGUAUUUUGGUCAUCUGCAAAUGCAGCCAUCUCCAGGUCAUCCUGUAGGCUGUGAAAACUCAGGAUGCUGGCCCCAAUGGCUGAGGUACAUGUCAAAGGAAUGAUUCAGUGAGCCCAGACCUCUCUUUAAGUAGACAACACUUACUGAUCGUAAUGGACUUCAUUUAACUUCUCUCAAAUCUAUGUGUGGGAGGGGGAAAAUCUUGAAAACAGGGGUGAUGGUGUUUACUCAGAUAUUCCAACGUGGAUACCCCGGGAGGUCACUCUCCCCGGGCUCUGUCCUGGUGGUGUAGAGGAGCAUAGGGCUCUGCCCCAUGAUGUACAGUCCCUUUCCACAACGUUGGAGAUGAAGCUGGGCCUUGAGUCUGCGCCUGCAUAUUCCUACAGCUUCUCAGAGUCCUGUGGACAAUGACUGAGGAGACAAACCAUGCAGGAAACAUCUAGUAUACAAAAAUUGAAAAUUGAGUUAAGAUUUUAUGUGUGAAUCUAAUUACUUUUUUUUUUUUGUCCUUUCAUUUAGGAGAGAAGAUGAACCUCACCUAACUUUGAAAUUAAUAUUUAAUGCUUUGAGGUCCCUUACUUGCAGGGAGAUGUGGUAAAGUGAGUACCCUGCAGUUCGGGGAGAUAAACCUGCAGUUUGAAAAUGUUAAGAUUACACAGAAUAUUUAAUCCUGGAACUAUCUUAAAAAGCAGCAGAGGAAUAGUAUGUUGCCCAGAUGCCCAUUGAAAUUAGAAGGAAUUAUAUGUGACAGGUGUGGGGGGUGGCCCUAGAGAUCCUCUCAGGUUUUCUACGAUGUGAAAACCAGUCAACAGUGGGUUUUCUGACAAGUGGAAGUAUGAGGACCUAUAUAUUUUAAUAAAGAGAUGCAUGACAGUUUCUACUGUGCUCAUGAAUUAUAAUAAAAAUGACUAUAU